Salmo salar (Atlantic salmon) is the source of this 1550-nucleotide non-coding RNA. The record is from RefSeq and is a predicted model, not a curated record. Lineage: Eukaryota; Metazoa; Chordata; Actinopteri; Salmoniformes; Salmonidae.
GCCGCUUCCUGUGUGAGAAGUUUUUUAUUUAGUUGAAUUAAAUUCAAAUCUAGGUAGUGUUUUCAGUAGUUAAUAGCUUUUUUUUUGCCAUGUAGCAUUUCUUUCUUAAGGGUAGGGCGGCUUUAGUGUAUCUUAACUUCUUCUAGUGUGAAGUAAUUGGUAGCUUGAUCAAAUAUAUUUUCAGAGUUGCUUCCCCAAUACUGCCCAGAGCAAAACAUUGAUAAGAUUAUUUGUGAUCAUUAAUAUUUGAAGAUUAAAAAACGAUAUCCAGAAUACUAGAGUAGAAUAUUUGCCACACUUUGAACCAUUUAGGACCCUAAACAAAAGGAAAAAGAUAAGGGCUGCAUUCAAUCUUAUCGCAGAAGUAUCGUUAUAUAUAGCAAGCUCGAUUGAAAUUUAAAGGUUCAUUUAGACUGCAUUCGCCGUAAACACAUAUGUCGGCUCAAUCGGAAAUGACCUUUAAAUUGGAACCCGGAUUUUAAGCGAAACGGGAUGAAUCCAGCCCUUACAUGCCGUUUACACUAUUAUUGGCCGAACUCCCUUAGCCACGCCCUCAUGGGGGGUGCUAACAAACUAUCAUGUAGCUAGGUAGUGCUACAUAUCAACAGCCAUUGUCAGCCAAUCCAGUAGGGGUUGGAAGCAAUGGUGAGCUUCGAUUGGUCACUCACGUUGCGUUAACGCGGAAGGUUUUAAUAAAGUUCAGCUUUCCCCAAUUUUAGUCCCGUCCUGUUCAGCUCCCUCGCCCAUGCUCUCAUCGCUCAAUGGUCCCCCGCCCACCCGGUUUCUCUUGCUUUCCUUCCAUUGAAAGGGAAUUGGCUUCCGGUGUUUCACCGCGCGAUGCAUCCUUCUGGUGUAAACUCACCGUUAGUGUCACUUCUUAUUUAUAACAAAUGCUGAUCAAUCAUGGCUAAUCCCUUUUAAUAUCUGGAAAUGCUUUCCUUGCGGGUCCAGUUUUAACACCAAGAUUAGUCCUCAUACCUCUCGAUGGAGCGGCUAAUGGGGAUCACUAAAUACUCCCAGAAUUAAAGCUAUAAGAUUCUUUAGGCUGGACCAGAUGCAGAUGAGGGGCAUGCCUUUGCCGUGCUAGUGCCGCAGUCUGUGAUGACUCCAUCGGUGGUGUCUGGCUCCUCCGUGGGCAGCAGAUGGCUUGAAGGACCAGUGGCUGGAGGAUCUGCAAGCAAGUGAUGGCAGACGGAAACACCAUCAAAGCGAGGGAUGGCAUGGCACUGCAGAGGACCCGACACCAAAGCCCUGGUCUAUUGACCAAUCCUAUCUAACACGAUGACCAGCUCAAUUCAUUAUUGAGAUGAGUAGCUCAGCUAAUACAAGUCAAAACACUAUUAACAGUUAAUCCAGUUCAUAGCAGUGAAAAUGUUUACAUUAUUUGUCAGAAACAGAUUGUUUUUGAUCAGUUCUGGCACGUACAGUAUUAGUCAUGUUUAUGGAAGUGCCAAAAGGUUAGUGCUUUCGGGGCUAUGUAUGACCCUUGGAUUUGCUGCUAGGUUUAUAAUACACUGAUGUGGGAAAUAAAGUACUGUUUUGACCCUGAA